This 695-nucleotide ribosomal RNA is filed under the name uncultured bacterium. Its description in RNAcentral is "bacterial SSU rRNA". It matches the Rfam family "Bacterial small subunit ribosomal RNA", at positions 9 to 691 of the family's 1533-position model. The record is from RNAcentral.
GAGUUUGAUCCUGGCUCAGAGCGAACGCUGGCGGCGUGCUUAACACAUGCAAGUCAGGGAGAAAGUCUCUUCGGGGAUGAUUAAACCGGCGCACGGGUGAGUAACACGUGAGUGACCUGCCUUUUAGACUGGAACAACUUACCGAAAGGUGAGCUAAUGCCGGAUGAGUUAUAUAAGUGCAUGUUUAUAUAGGAAAAGUUGGGGAGACCUGACGCUGAAAGAUGGACUCGCGUCCCAUUAGCUAGUUGGUAGGGUAAUGGCCUACCAAGGCGACGAUGGGUAGCCGGCCUGAGAGGGUGGCCGGCCACACUGGGACUGAGACACGGCCCAGACUCCUACGGGAGGCAGCAGUGGGGAAUUUUGCGCAAUGCUCGUAAGAGUGACGCAGCGACGCCGCGUGAAUGACGAAGGCCUUCGGGUCGUAAAGUUCUUUCGACAGGGAAGAAAAUGCCUAUAAGUAACUGUGUAUGUAUUGACGGUACCUGUAUAAGCAGCCCCGGCUAACUCCGUGCCAGCAGCCGCGGUAAUACGGAGGGGGCGAGCGUUGUUCGGAGUGACUGGGCGUAAAGAGCACGUAGGCGGUGUUGUAAGUCAUUAGUCAAAGACUAGAGCUCGACUUUAGUAAGGCUAGUGAUACUAUAAUACUAGAGUAUCAGAGAGGAUUGCAGAAUUCCUGGUGUAGCGGUGAAAUGCGU